Molecule: ribosomal RNA, 580 nt
Filed under: Rhodococcus rhodnii
Lineage: Bacteria; Bacillati; Actinomycetota; Actinomycetes; Mycobacteriales; Nocardiaceae
Description: bacterial SSU rRNA
Rfam family: Bacterial small subunit ribosomal RNA
Source: RNAcentral
ACGGUACCUAUAGAAGAAGCACCGGCCAACUACGUGCCAGCAGCCGCGGUAAUACGUAGGGUGCGAGCGUUGUCCGGAAUUACUGGGCGUAAAGAGCUCGUAGGCGGUUUGUCGCGUCGUCUGUGAAAUCCCACAGCUCAACUGUGGGCGUGCAGGCGAUACGGGCAGACUUGAGUACUGCAGGGGAGACUGGAAUUCCUGGUGUAGCGGUGAAAUGCGCAGAUAUCAGGAGGAACACCGGUGGCGAAGGCGGGUCUCUGGGCAGUAACUGACGCUGAGGAGCGAAAGCGUGGGUAGCGAACAGGAUUAGAUACCCUGGUAGUCCACGCCGUAAACGGUGGGCGCUAGGUGUGGGUUUCCUUCCACGGGAUCCGUGCCGUAGCUAACGCAUUAAGCGCCCCGCCUGGGGAGUACGGCCGCAAGGCUAAAACUCAAAGGAAUUGACGGGGGCCCGCACAAGCGGCGGAGCAUGUGGAUUAAUUCGAUGCAACGCGAAGAACCUUACCUGGGUUUGACAUACACCGGAUCGCCUCAAAGAUGGGGUUUCCCUUGUGGUCGGUGUACAGGUGGUGCAUGGCUG